UCUUCUAGGAAUCAAGGGGGACGACUCGACUAAAAGGUACGUCUUAUAGUAAUCAAAGGGGGAUGACUCGAUUAAAAGGUACGUCUUAUAGGAAUUAAGGGAAAUGAAUUGACUAAAAGGUACGUCUUUUAAGAGUCAAGAGGAAUGUCUUGACUAGAAGGUACGUUUCCUAGGAGUGAAGGUUCAAUUUAAGAAGUGUAUCACCUAGCAAAUGAAAACUGAAAUCCCUGGACAAGUGUGUCUCCGAGGGAUAUAGGAUGAUGAAUUUUUACCAUGAUUUUAUUAUCAAACCUGUGCAUCAAUAUUGCUUUCUGCAUUUUUAAAAGUGAGGCAUUGCAACCCUUGAUGUUUAUGCUCUGAAGUCCCUGCUUUGAAGGUAAUCUGUUUCCUGUUACAUCAAAGAAAACUUGUGAGUUUAAAACAUGGUGGCUGGUUUAUGGCUUUAGCUUUAGCGGAGAUCGCUCUUGCCCUUGUCAUAUUUAAACUUGCUUCCAAUCAUUAACAUAUAUCAUUGACUUGCUGAAUCAUUGACCCGAACUAAGAUUAUUAAGAGUGAUUGAAACAAAAACAGUAUCUCUGCUUUGCGAUGCUUCUAAGAUAGACCCUUUGAACCUUGGUAUUUCCAUGAGUUCCUCAACUUAUCUAUUGACAAAACUUUCUGCAUGCCCUUUUUUUUCGGCUCACAAUAAUGUCUCUUUCAUGUGCUAGCUUUUGUCUUGCUUUGUGAAAUUAAAGAAGCUGGUAUCCAGUUUUAAAAUUUUUUCUCACUUGUUUUGACAGGGAUUUGACUCAAAGAUAAGAAAGAAAAAAAAUAAUAACAAUUUUUUUUAUUCGGAUAACUGACUCAAGAAAGAUAAAACAAAAAUAAAAAAAAAGAAAGAAAAGACAAUGAAUGUUCCUAUUUGAAACAAAGAAACGAAAAAUUCAUCUAAAAAUGAUAGUCAACUCUAAUGAUUAUGCCAUGCAUUUUGGAUUAAGCAACUUGAUCUUUUCAUCCAAACUUUCUACCAAUUGUUGUUGAGUUAAUGGCCUUGAAACUGAGUUGCUUUCUUAGGCCAAAUUCAUUCAGAAACCUCAUUCGGCUAGUGGUGCCUUGAAGGGUUUUUGCCAACAAACUUGUUUCUUUCUCUCAGCUCACCAUUGCCUUGUGGUGCCCGUGAGGGUUUUCACUAAUAAGACUCUCUCAUUUUUAUUUCUCUCAACUUACUAUCGCCUUACGGUAUCAGUGAGGGUUUUAACUAAUAAGACUCUCUCAUUUUUAUUUCUCUCCUGAUUUCUUAUGCUGAGGAAGACAAGUAGUACCCAAAAUACAUCAUCAUAUCCAUUGCAUACUUAGCCUUAGCAUUUUCAAAGAUUAAUCUGAAGGUCUUUCUUUGGUUGUAACUUGACUUUUGGAUAAGUUUAGGAAGAAGGGAUGACAUGAGUCCCAAAUAACACUUGAAGUGGUGUAGGACUUACAACUUUUGGAAUAGACUCAAAAAAUGAGGAUUAACUCAUGCCUCAGUUUCUUUUGACUGGGUAAUUCUAAAUUGUUUAUUUGGUUGGACCGAGCCUGGAGUAGGGCAGCCUACGUAUCUCACCCCCGAAAGAGGAGAAUCAGGUCACGCAUAGUUCCGACAGCUUGUUCUUUUGCUUGAUUAUGAUUUUUUUCUUUUUUUUCUUUUGUUGACUCUUUUAUUGACUUUUUUUUUGCUUUUUAGGACCUUCUGACUCUAUUUUUUUCUUGAUGCUCUUUUCUUUUCCUUUUUUUGGACACAUUUUUUCUCUGAUUUCUUUUUGAAACUUUUUGACUCUGUUGUUUUGCUCGACACUUUUUCUUUUAAGCUUUGCUGAUUCUAUCUUGAUUCCAAAAGAGACGUAUGAAAGAAAAUAACACUAAGGCUCAAAUGGGGUAAACAAAGAACGACACAAUGUUUGAAUAGCAGAAUGAAACGCCUUCGUCAUAUCAAUCCUUGAAGAUGCUAGUAUAUAGCAUGGAAUGUAAAAGUACACGAUCAAUAUCACUCAUGACAUAUUUUACAACACUAACUUUCCCCGAGCAUAUGUGCCACCUUUUCUUCUACACUUGUCGAAUAUACAACUCCACCUUUGUUGUACAUCCCUCACAUUGAAUGACUCAUGCUUUCGUAGAGUUGAUUUUCUUUUUGUUCCUCUUGAUAGGAUUACGCAGACACUGUUUGACCUAACUAAGACAUGUCUUUCAAUUGAUGAUCAAGUUAUUCUUGUGAUUCUCAAAAUAAUUGCCUUAAUUUUCAAAGAAGGCUUGAACUUGUCACCAAAUGUCUCAGAACUCUACCUAUUUUCUCAGAUGCUCUCUUUCCUAACUUUAACUCUCUAAUUCAAUGUUCAUGCUCAAACUGGAUUUUAAGAUCUGACUGAAAAUUCCGCAGGCAUGUCAUAUCACUAGAAUCAACAUAAAAUAUACUGUAUAAAGAAAACAAACAAACAACACAUAUUUGAAACAUAAAAGGAAAGGGACACUUCAUUUAGUUAAAAUAAAAGAUAAAAGGGUUUGAACAUAAACGACAAAGGGACAAAAUAAGAUAGAUCCCGAACUAAAACCCUAAAAUACUCCAGAAAAUAAAAAAUAAAACAAAACAAACUACCAAACCUCUUCCUAGUAGGGAGAUGGGUGACUUCUCAAUUGCUUAGCCUGACAACUUAGCCACUGGUUUGCAUAUCAACAUGACUAGAGCUUUCCUCACUAUCAAUGUUCUGCACCAUAAUCGAUCCAUCUUGAAUUAUAUUUUCAAUUUCUCUUUUCAAAUCUCGACAGUCUUCAAUACCAUGACCCUGAGCAUCAGAAUGAUACGCACAUCGUGCAUUAGGAUCAAAAUUUCUUGAACGCCGAUUAAGAGUAAACCUAAGGAGAGGAGUGAUUAUGCCCCAUUGUACCAAUAUCUAAAAUAAACUGGCAUACGACUCUCCAAUUGGUGUAAACUAUCUCUCGACUUUUUCCUCAUUUCAUCAUUUGACUUGGAUCAAAAAUCAGGCUUAGAAGAGUUUUGGUAUGUUUGUGGAGUUAGAGGAUAACUCUGAGGAGUUGGUGUGUUCCACUAUUGGUAAGAUGAGGGUUGAAUAUGUGGUUGUACGUUAUAUACUGGAUAUGGAGGGGGAGGAGCAUAGUAUAAAGGAUUUUGGGAGUGAUUAUAUAAAGCUUGGGCAUGAACUUGGGCUUGUGCCUGAGAGUGACGACGACGUGGUCUUCUUGACCUUUCCUGUUGUCCAACUACAAUAGCAGAUGCAUCUUCCUCAUUCUUUUUCUCCCCAACACUUCCUGAACCCUUUUGAAUUGCUUGAUUAGUCGCUUUCAAUGUUGCAAAACUCACAAUGCGACCAGUCUUAAUUCCCUCUUCUAUCAUCUCCCCCAUUUUAAGGACCUUUAUAAACGGCUUUCUUUCAUUGGCGGUUUUACUCUAGCAGCUUGUUCGCGACAUCUGAUCACAUACUCUAUGAAACUCAGUAUUCUUCUUCUUCUUCAUACUGGUUAGGGAUUUUUCGUCAGUGAUCAACUCCACAUUGUAUUGAAAUUGUUUCACAAAUUCAUUAGCUAGGUCAUCCCAACUAAUUCACUUGUCGAUGUCUUGGUCAAUAAACCAUUCCGAAGCUAGGCCAGAAAAACUCUCCUCAAAAUAAGCCACGAGUAGUUCUUUCUUCCCUCAGUGCCUCUUAAUUGGUUACAAUAACACCUCAAAUGUGUCAUUGGAUCUCCGUGUCCAUCAUAUUUCUCAAACUUUGGCAUUUUAAAAUCAAGAGGGAGAUGAACACCCGGAAACAUGCUCAGAUCUUUAUAUGAGACACUUUUGUAACCCCCAAGUCCUUGCAAGUUCUUCAUAGCCAGUUCCAAACUUCUCAAUUUUCUGGUCAUUUCCUCUUGUUCUUCUAUCAUAACAAGCUUCUUAGUGUUAGGAAGAAAUUCAGGCGGGUGAGUGUCACCAUAAAGACCAGUCAACUUGAAUGUAGGCUCGAAAGUGUAACGCUGAUCACCAAUAAUAUUCAAUACAAGCUCUCUUGUAGAGUAGGGAGGCACAACUUGUGGAUGAACAUCAAAAGUAGGAGUUUCACGUGGGGUGGCACCACAAAAUCAUGAACAACAGGUGGAGACGAGUAUGUGGUAGUCUUGGAUUGGGGAGUGAGAAAAUGAACAUUGGAUGUGCUUGGAUAUUGUUGCCCCAGAGUCGAUCCUGAUGCAUGUUGUGGCAUAUCAACAAAAAUGGAAAAUUGUGCAUGCGACACGGGAAACAAGCUAGAAAGAUAUUUUAGAUUAUCAAUGGGAACUGGAGGAGGCGGCAACCCAUUAGCCUAAGCUCGACGCAUUUCUAUCAUCUGCUGUCUUAAUUUCCGAAUCUCUUUAUUAUCUCCUAAAUUCUCAUUUCUCGAACUCCCUAUCUGAUUAGUGACAACAAACUCGAUAUCCUUGUUGGCCAUAACUUUUUCUAUGACUUGGUGCAAUAUGGGGGACCAUCCAAAAUGCCACAAACCAACCACCUUAAACUAACUGAACAAGAGAUAGCAAAUGCAUUAGAAUUCAACACUUUUUCUUCAAAACCUUUUUUUUCUUUUUGAAAAGAACACCGAACCCAAGAAGGGCGCCUACGUAUCUCACUCCCGAGAGAGGAGAAUCAGGUGUGUGUAGUUCGUGAAGUCUUGCCAAAAUGGCUAAUUAAUUCUUUUUCCUUUCUUUUUUUUCUUGAAACUUUAAAAAGAAAAGGAAAUAACAAAUUGUCAAAAGAAUUGACAAUUUUAUUUUCUUUUUUCUUUUUGUAUUUUCAAUUUUAAACUCCCUAUACAAAAUGAAACCUAUGAUUACCAAAGAAUUUUUUUUUUUGGAUUUUCGAUAUUGAAUUUCAUAUGAAAAUGAAACAUGAACCUAUUAAAGGAAUUUUUUUUUUGUAGUUUUAUUUUAAAGAUGUAUAUGAAACACCUACUCUAAUAAAGAGUGAAGAAAAUCUCUUUUUCUGGAACUUUUCAAAUAAGAUACCCGAACCAACAAUAGGAUGCCUACGUAUCUCACUCCUGAGAGAGAAGAAUCAGGGGUGCGUAGUUCGUCCAGAUUGGACAAUUAAGGAUUAAUUAACAAACUACACCAAACUUGAGAGGCACGACCAAAGACUAACUAUGAAAAAUGUUAAUAAAAUCUUUUUUAGAGUUUUCAACUUGACACUUCAAAUAAAAAUGACACCAACAAUUAUGAAAGAAAAAAUCUUUUUGGUAUUUGCAUUACAUGAAAUGUAAAAUUUUCUACCAUUUUUUGCAUUUUCUUUUAUAAAAACUGCUAAAUUUUUUUUUUUUUGAAAAUUUCGAAUUAUGAAUGCAUGCUAAAGGAGACAAAGUGAGAAAUUUUCUUGAUGUUUUGGCUUUUGAACAAAUGAGUGCAAAAAAUAAAGAAAUCUUUUUGAAAUUUUGAAUCGUUGAAAAACAAAAGCCAUAAAGAACUCUAAAACUACGAAACUCUUUUUUUCUAUUCGACUCACUUUUCUUUUCUCAUUUUUUUUCACUUUACUUCUAACACAAGUUUUCCCCAAAUCAAUCUGUCAAAUGACAAUAUUUAGCACGUAGGGAUGCUUUAGAGGUGAGUCUCCUACAAAGGACUAAGUAGGACCCGCUAGGUCUUCAAUAUGAUGCACAUAAGCAUGACCUAAAGGCUGACCUACGUUGGGGUUCACUAACAAGGCUGUUCGGGGGAGCGUAUGGUCGAUAGGGGAUCUUUGCUUUCCACCUACUCCAUAACACCGACGGAUUCCCCCUAAAAUAAGGGUGACUCAACUAGAGGUCGUGUACAACACGUGUACUAUAGACUUGUUGCAGAAAGAAUGACUCGGGUUAUGCACAUAAUGCCAUAUAUAAAACGGUAACACACAAAAUAAAACUGUAAACAAAGAGCACGUAGACACUCAACAAUGAUAAACAAUAACACAAAAUAACACAAACAAUAUCUAUACACCCAAAAUGUCAAACAAAGCCGAUACAACUCAAAAAAAUUAGCUCAAAUUCUGAAAACUCCCCAGCAGAGUCGCCAGAGCUGUCACACCUCAUUUUUUACUCCAAAAAGAUUAUUUAAGGUUCGAAAGGGUUUUCAUUAUUAAAGUGACAAAAAAUGAAAAUUUUGUUUCAAAAAGGAUUAUUUACAUUUAAACUCAGAGUCACCACUUGACAUAAUUGGGUGUGCCAAGUCAUAUUAGGAAAAUCCUUUUCGAAAUAAUUUGACACUUAAAAAGACUGAUUUGCGAAUAGAGAUUUCGGCUAAGGAAUUCUGUUGACUGAGGGGAAGGUAGUAGGCACCCCUCGAUCCCGUGGUUCGAUCAUGGUCUCUUGGUGAAGCGUAUCGUCUCAUUUUGACACUAUGAAUGUACAAACCACACAAAAACACGUAAAACAGUCAAACAAACAAACAAAAGAAAAACUAAUCAAAAGUACAGUAUCCAGUCCAAUUUAUACAGUCCAAAAUAGAAAAAUACAAAAAUAAACCCUAUCUAACCUACACUAAUACUAACUACACUCCCUUGCUUUACCCGAUGCCUCGGGACUUCCUCACGAACGUCUUUUGCCAACAUAGUACGUCGGGACAUUCCCCGGUGAAUAAAUCAAGGUGUAUCGGGGCAUUCCCCGGCUAAAUAAAUACAUUUGAAUUAAAUAUGAUAAACUAGAAACCAAACAUUCACACGUGCAUUAAACAUUCAAAACAUUUAAUAAACACAUCACUCCUAAAUAUUUGCCUACCCAAACCUACUUUUAGCUAUUCAUUCGAUGACCUAAUCAUGAUGCUAGCCAAUUCAACAGUAUCCAGUAAUGAAUCAAAAUAAUCAACCUUCGACUUAUUCGAUUAUCAAUUUUCAAUCCUGACCCCCAAACAAAUUCAAAUCCUUUAAUUACUCUAUUCACAUGAAUCAGUCAAUCAAUAUCAACCAUAGUAAUCACGAUUGCUUGAACACAAUAUCAAAACAUAUCCUCACAUCAUAACAUCAACCAAAUGCCAUAUUUGAUCCGAUACACCGAAUACCAUAACUAUUAAAAUAAAAGAGAAAGAGAAAAGAAUUGGACCUCAAGACGAAGCUUUCAAAAUCCAAUAUUACUUGAAUGAGAAGACGUAUUCCGCCACCGGAGACCUCGAAUUGAACCUCGACCCAACAAACCGGAGCUCAAUACACCCCUUUUCUCCAUUUUCGCCAACCCAAAUUGAAAACCCCAAAACGAAGGUAAAUUAGUACCAAAUUCUCGUGCCUAUUACGGUUUUGAUCAUUUUUCGAUUGACUUCAUCGGGAUCGAGACUGAUUGAACCAAUUUUGGUCGCUCAACCAUAGAUUUUGUCCCUUUUCGGUGAAUGGUCAUCGGAAUCAGUACUAGAGGAGGUCAGAUUCAAGUCGGAGUGAAGCUGGUGGUGUUUCCUGGCCACUAAUUCUGCCAUAACAAUGAUGAAACAGCCAUGAAAAGUGUUUUUUGAUGAGGUUCAAACAGAAUUAAUGGAGGAGGAAGAAAUAUUUCGAUUGAAUUUGGCCGAAAAUGGUCGCUUGUUUGUGAUUUAUUGCUGGAUUUGGUCGUGUGGUAGGUCAUUUUUGGUGAGAGAUGGAAGAUUUGGGCAAUCAAUUCGCUGAAAACCUCAAACCAGUCGGCUGGGAUGCCUCUGUUCUGUAUUCUUUCCCUUCUCACUCUAUUCCUCUUUCUCUCGCACUGUCCCAAUCUCUUUCCCCCGUCUCAAUCUCUCUCUCGUCUCCCUACUCUCACCCCCUUCCAAUGGUAUUCUCUCCUCUCUUCUUUAAUGGAGUGCCUUUCAGGAGGAUGAUGGUGUAGGCGUAUUAGUGAGAAAGGGGUGUGUAUGUGAUGAGUGUGUGACCA
Molecule: long non-coding RNA, 7833 nt
Filed under: Capsicum annuum
Lineage: Eukaryota; Viridiplantae; Streptophyta; Magnoliopsida; Solanales; Solanaceae
Description: long non-coding RNA (CANN_LNC016811)
Source: RNAcentral